Molecule: non-coding RNA, 45 nt
Filed under: Schistosoma mansoni
Lineage: Eukaryota; Metazoa; Platyhelminthes; Trematoda; Strigeidida; Schistosomatidae
Source: RNAcentral
UCCUAGCUGACCAGUCCCAAAUAAAACGAAACGUGCGUCCUAGAU